RNAcentral lists this unclassified non-coding RNA (339 nucleotides) under Hevea brasiliensis (rubber tree). Lineage: Eukaryota; Viridiplantae; Streptophyta; Magnoliopsida; Malpighiales; Euphorbiaceae. The record is from RNAcentral.
GUGAGCAGAUGCUCCGGGUGAGAAAUGAGCCGGAUUUUGGGGAGUCCGUCUCAGAACCUUUCUUCUGCUUUCAAAACCAUGAAGGUAUAAGCUUUAAGGUCUUGUUUCUGGUAAAUGCUGUUUUGCACAAAGGCAUAGUUAAUCAGCAUCAGAUGACUGCUGAAUUCUUUUCUUUGCUUAGAAAGCAUCAGGAGGGAGUAAAUUUAGCUGCACUGAAGCACAUCUUUUCUUACAAAAGGCCUGUCAAUGAUGCUAUUCGGAAGUUAGCAAGUGUACAGAAAUGGCUAUUUAAUAAUCCUAACCUUCUCGAGAGAACUGGACAGUUGGAUGAUGUUGUAG